RNAcentral lists this ribosomal RNA (442 nucleotides) under uncultured bacterium. RNAcentral's name for it is "partial 16S ribosomal RNA". It matches the Rfam family "Bacterial small subunit ribosomal RNA", at positions 338 to 795 of the family's 1533-position model. The record is from RNAcentral.
CCUACGGGAGGCAGCAGUAGGGAAUCUUUCACAAUGGGCGAAAGCCUGAUGGAGCAACGCCGCGUGCAGGAUGAAGGCCUUCGGGUUGUAAACUGCUUUUAUAAGCGAGAAAUAUGAUGGUAACUUAUGAAUAAGGAUCGUCUAACUACGUGCCAGCAGCCGCGGUCAUACGUAGGAUCCGAGCAUUAUCCGGAGUGACUUGGUGUAAAGAGUUGCGUAGGUGGCAUAAUAAGUAGCUAGUGAAAUCUGGUGGCUCAACCAUUCAGACGAUUGGCUAAACGGUUAAGCUCGAGAGCGUUAGGGGUAACUGGAAUUUCUAGUGUAGGAGUGAAAUCCGUAGAUAUUAGAAGGAACACCAAUAGCGUAGGCAGGUUACUGGGACGGUUCUGACACUAAGGCACGAAAGCGUAGGGAGCAAACGGGAUUAGAUACCCGGGUAGUC